GACGAACGCUGGCGGCGUGCUUAACACAUGCAAGUCGAACGGAAAGGCCCCUUUGGGGGUACUCGAGUGGCGAACGGGUGAGUAACACGUGAGUAACCUGCCCUUGACUUCGGGAUAACUUCAGUUAACUGGGGCUAAUACCGGAUAGGAAUCCUUGCUGCAUGGUGGGGGUUGGAAAGCUUCGGCGGUUUUGGAUGGACUCGCGGCUUAUCUGCUUGUUGGUGGGGUAGUGGCUUACCAAGGCUUGGACGGGUAGCCGGCCUGAGAGGGCGACCGGCCACAUUGGGACUGAGAUACGGCCCAGACUCCUACGGGAGGCAGCAGUGGGGAAUAUUGCACAAUGGGCGGAAGCCUGAUGCAGCAAAGCCGCGGGCGGGAUGACGGCCUUCGGGUUGUAAACCGCUUUCAGCAGGGGCGAAGCUUGUGGUGACGGUACCUGCAGAAGAAGCACCGGCUAACUACGUG
RNAcentral lists this ribosomal RNA (465 nucleotides) under uncultured bacterium. Its description in RNAcentral is "partial 16S ribosomal RNA". It matches the Rfam family "Bacterial small subunit ribosomal RNA", at positions 28 to 507 of the family's 1533-position model. The record is from RNAcentral.